AUGUUUACCGGAGCACGGCGGAGCAGCGCCGGAUCAUCUGGAGACCAGGAGGGGAUGGGAGAUAAGCUUGACGCUUUAUCAGAGGAGCUUCGACGGCGGCCAGAAGUACGGAUCCUCAACAAAUAUGCGGUCAGCAUGGCGUACAUCCGAAUUGGCGUGAAAAACAUGGGGGCUCUGGCGCUCUUGUGGGCCACCGUGGUCCUCCUCGGCGGCUUCGUCUCCGAUCUGAGGAGGAUAGAUUUUUGGUAUCUCACCAUCAUCGCAUUCAUCCAAGCUGCCGGGCUAUCUGACGCCCUGGGAGAUGAUCGGUUGAUGUUCUUUGGGCAUUGGGUUGAUUCACUUAUGAGAAAUAUUAUAUCUUGGGGGGAAAAGCAUCAUGAUAAACGCAAGUUGCCUAUGAGGCAAUGGCUGAAGAGACAAAUAAAUAUACUCCGGUUAAAAAUAAUAGACAUCACUCUGUCUAUGCUAUUUUUCCCAGUGGAGUGCUUCGCUGCUUAUGGGCCAAUUAUCUGCUUUGUGCUAUCGCUGCUUCGUCUGCGAAAGCAAGACUAUGGCAUCGCCGACGGAGAAGCAAAUAUGGAGCCAGGGCUGACUUUAUUCUACUGCUUAUCUCUUGCUCAGAGCGCAUUCUCCUUUCUGAGUAUGAUUAUUGGAGCUGUUGCUGAGGAGAAGUUGGUGGAGUAUGUUAGCCAACAAUAUGGUUUCAGCCCUAAAGUACUUGGUGGAUACUUGGACAAAACCAAGCAGAUUUGUCUAAACAACGCCGCGUCCACAGUGAGCUGGAAUUUGAUCGCAUAUGGUGCUGACUUGCUUGAUUCCCAAUUACCGGAGGACUAUGUGUCUGGAGGAAGGGUACUAACUAUGCUGAUUGAUCAAGAUACACCGUUAGCGAUAACCUGGCUGCUGAAUUUGUCACCGAUACACAGAAUUCAGAAGCUGAUCGGGACCCUUGCUUGGGGAAGCCCAGCUGAGCAAGAGAUGAGAUGUCAUGCAGCGAGGAUUGUGGAGCAUCUAGCUGGUCACCUCAACCUUGCUCACUUUCCAGGAGCAUUGGAAUGCAUAUCCUCCCUCUUUGACACUUCCUAUCAUAACAAUGCUGAUCAAGAAGCCCUCCAUUCGCCUUUUCUAACUGAGCGUAGCAAGCAGAGGAAAAGGAGAGGUUUCCUGAACGAAAAUUUUGCUGGUAACCCGUGGGAAGAUAAAGAUGGUAACAAGAAGGAUGACGGGGGUAAAGAUGGUAGCUUCACCAUGUUCACAAACAUUAUCACUGCCAAAAAUCCGCGCGAAAGACACGAUGCUGCCGCGCAAUACAACAAGGAGAGGUCUGCCGCACAGAAAUUCAACAAGGAGAGGGAGAAUUAUAAAGGAACUGAUAAGGAUCUGGUUUUGCUAGGCUUGAGAAUUCUAGAGAAGCUGGCUCACAACAGACACAACUGCACACUGAUAUACAACACCAAGGAUAUUCUUUCAAAAAUAGUCGCACCUGUCAGUUCCAACAAAUUAGAAGAAGACAUCAAGAGCAACGCUACAUGGACCAAGGUAAUAGGCGGGUCACUGAAGGUGGUGAGCCAGCUCAUGGGUUCUUCAGGAAGCACCAGCGUAAAGAUGCGCAGACUGAUUGCGAACAAUAGUAAUGCAGUAACAAACUUGGAGGCCGUACUAGAUAUGGAUAUGAAGAGCAACAGUGUUAUCAAGCUACAGAUACAAGCUAUAGAUGUUCUUACACAACUAGCCUUGCAUCAUCCAGCAAAUAAUUCUGCUACAAAGAUAAGGGACAAAAUUAUUGAGAGGGCGCUGCACAUCUUCCUUACUACAGGUUGGAUAGAAGAUUAUUUGAAAGAUGAGAAAAUGAAGCUGGAUAAUACUUUACCAACAUCGUCAAUAUUAACAUAUAUGAUCAGUGUAGAAAAGCGGGCUGCAGAAGCACAUGUUGAAAAGAGGAUGAAAGAAGCUAAGGAAACUGCAAGCCGGCUUAAAGAAAAGGCAGGUGAAGCAUUGGCCAUGCUGUCCAGUGAUUCAGAGGCUGUCAAGAGCUUCACAGGAUGCAAAAAUAAUGAAGUUGUUCGUCUUACUGAAUUGCUCAACUCCAAAACAAGUGCAACAGAUACUACUAUACCAAUAGAGAUUACGAUUGGCUGUCGUAUUAGCGCAGCAGUCAUCUUGAAGCAUUUGAGCAACUACGACAAGAAACCAACCUUACGGAUGGUACUCACGGAAUUGCUUCCUAUGCAAGCAGAAUUGAGUAGUACAACCAUGCCCAGCUGUUGGGAGCGUGCCAUCCCUUGCAUUAAAGCAAGCAGAAACAAGAUAGGAAACCCAGGUAACACUGUGAAAGACAAGCCUUCCAAUUCUCAGAGCCACCACAUCCAGCAAUAUGAGGAGAGGAGGCUGCAGGCAGAGCUGCUAUCAUUCGUCGCAACAAUUCGUGCAAACAACAAUCUUGAUUUUGCAACAAUAUUAAUGUCACUGACGCCGCCGGCUACCAAGGAGGACUUUGUGGUGAGGCUCAAGAACAUGGUGGAGGACAGCAUGUAUGCCACCCCUGCGUGCUUGGCAAUACAGAAGCUUACCUGCAAGAUGGUUAUAGAAUUCAUCCAGCAGCAUGAUGAAAACGUCGAAGUGAUCGGCAGGCAUGAUAUCGUUGGCGCAUUAUUGGAGGCUUCAGAGAUGAUGGUCGUGCUUGAAAGCAGCAUGCUUUUUGCUGGUGUUGAUCGUGACUGCCACGGGGUUCCUCUGAAACCUCUCUCUUCUGUCCUCGCUAAGAACGCAGAAGAUCUUUUGGCACAGAAGAAACAGGCUCUGGGCGUCAACAUUGCGCCUGCCACUGCCAGUGCACCAUGA
RNAcentral lists this ribosomal RNA (2841 nucleotides) under Triticum aestivum (bread wheat). RNAcentral describes it as "partial small subunit ribosomal RNA". Lineage: Eukaryota; Viridiplantae; Streptophyta; Magnoliopsida; Poales; Poaceae. The record is from RNAcentral.